UGGCCACCCGGGCCAGCAGCAGCAACCUGCUCAGGUCCCCUUCCAUGGUGUGGAAGCUUUGUUCUUUCGCUGUUCACAAUGAAUCUUGCUGCUGCUCACUCUUUGGGUCCGCACUAGCUUUAUGAGCUGUAACGCUCACUGCGAAGGUCUGUGGCUUCACUCCUGAAGUCAGCAAGACCACGAACCCACCGGAAGGAGGAAACAACUCCGGAAGCACCACGUUUAAGAGCUGUAACACUCACUGCGAAAGUCUGCAGCUUCACUCCUGAAGUCAGCAAGACCACAAACCCACCGGAAGGAAGAAAUUCCAGACACAUCUAAACAUUGGAAGGAACAAACUCCAGACACACUAUCUUUAAGAACUGUAACACUCACCGCGAGGGUCUGUGGCUUCAUGCUUGAAGUCAGCCGGACCAAGAACCCACCGGAAAGAACCAAUUCCUGACACAAUCGUAUGUAAAAUUUUACUUCCUGAUGUGGGAGUUCAUGAAAAUGAAUUUAAACCUAAUUUUAAUUAUGCUUAUAUUCUUACCCCCUCCUGUUGCCAUUCCGUCCUAUACAUGACCCCAAACCAACAAACACUUGAAUUGUUUAUUUUUAAUUACACCACGAGGCUACAUUUUUAUUGUUUUACAAGGCAUAGGUAAAAAGCAAGGAGUUGAAGGCAAGUGGACUGGGGCAGGGAGGUGGAACUGGAGCGCACUGCGGUCAGAACCCUGGGUUGGAUGGAGGUUUGGUUUCUGUCUCUGCCAGAAGCCGUCUCUCUUAACCGUGGACAGAUCUUGUUCCUGAAUGGACGCUUUCAGUAUUUCUUUCUGAAGUCUGAUAUUUGCUAUAGAUUUUAUUUUUUUCUGUGGCUGUAGAUACCCUUUAUCUGGUUAAUAAAAUUAUUAUCUAUUACUAUUUUGCUAAGUUAAAGAAAAGCAUGACUGUUGAAAUGUAUCACAUACUUUUCUCUGCACCUACAAAGAUGACCAAAUGAACUCACCAUUGGUUUAUUAAUGUUGUGAAUGACAUUGAUUUUGCUCCUAAUGUUUAACCAAUCUGUGUUCCUGAUCAUGAUCAAACCUGGUCUUUAUUCUUCUUCCCCUUUUCGUUUUCUUGCUCCUGCUGCUUCUCAGCUUAAUGGAGCGACCCACAUGGUGAGAAACUGAGGCCUCUUGGCAACAGCUAUGUCACUAAACCAACUUGGAAGUGGG
Molecule: long non-coding RNA, 1199 nt
Filed under: Homo sapiens (human)
Lineage: Eukaryota; Metazoa; Chordata; Mammalia; Primates; Hominidae
Description: non-protein coding lnc-IGFBP1-1:4
Source: RNAcentral